RNAcentral lists this ribosomal RNA (427 nucleotides) under uncultured bacterium. RNAcentral describes it as "partial 16S ribosomal RNA". It matches the Rfam family "Bacterial small subunit ribosomal RNA", at positions 355 to 774 of the family's 1533-position model. The record is from RNAcentral.
UGGGGAAUAUUGGACAAUGGGCGAAAGCCUGAUCCAGCCAUGCCGCGUGUGUGAAGAAGGUCUUCGGAUUGUAAAGCACUUUAAGUUGGGAGGAAGGGCAUUAACCUAAUACGUUAGUGUCUUGACGUUACCGACAGAAUAAGCACCGGCUAACUCUGUGCCAGCAGCCGCGGUAAUACAGAGGGGGCAAGCGUUAAUCGGAAUUACUGGGCGUAAAGCGCGCGUAGGUGGUUUGUUAAGUUGAAUGUGAAAUCCCCGGGCUCAACCUGGGAACUGCAUCCAAAACUGGCAAGCUAGAGUAUGGUAGAGGGUAGUGGAAUUUCCUGUGUAGCGGUGAAAUGCGUAGAUAUAGGAAGGAACACCAGUGGCGAAGGCGACUACCUGGACUGAUACUGACACUGAGGUGCGAAAGCGUGGGGAGCAAACA